GCUGGCGGCAUGCUUAACACAUGCAAGUCGAACGGUAACAGGACGCUAGGAUCCCUUCGGGGUGACGUUUGUCGCUGACGAGUGGCGGACGGGUGAGUAAUGCAUAGGAAUCUGCCCAGUAGUGGGGGAGUAACUCGAAGAAAUUCGAGCUAAUACCGCAUAUGUCCCACGGGACAAAGCAGGGGACCUUCGGGCCUUGCGCUAUUGGAUGAGCCUAUGUCGGAUUAGUUAGUUGGUAGGGUAAAAGCCUACCAAGGCAACGAUCCGUAGCUGGUCUGAGAGGAUGAUCAGCCACACUGGGACUGAGACACGGCCCAGACUCCUACGGGAGGCAGCAGUGGGGAAUAUUGCACAAUGGGCGCAAGCCUGAUGCAGCAAUGCCGCGUGUGUGAAGAAGGCCUGCGGGUUGUAAAGCACUUUUAUUAGGAAAGAAAAACCCGGAAUUAGUACUUCCGGCAUUGACGGUACCUAAAGAAUAAGCACCGGCUAACUCAGUG
Molecule: ribosomal RNA, 497 nt
Filed under: uncultured bacterium
Lineage: Bacteria
Description: bacterial SSU rRNA
Rfam family: Bacterial small subunit ribosomal RNA
Source: RNAcentral